Molecule: long non-coding RNA, 494 nt
Organism: Bos taurus (domestic cattle)
Lineage: Eukaryota; Metazoa; Chordata; Mammalia; Artiodactyla; Bovidae
Source: Ensembl
UUUGGAAGGAAUGAUGCUAAAGCUGAAACUCCAGUACUUUGGCCACCUCAUUCGAAGAGUUGACUCAUUGGAAAAGACCCUGAUCCUGGGAGGGAUUGGGGGCAGGAGGAGAAGGGGAUGACAGAGGAUGAGAUGGCUGGAUGGCAUCACUGACUUGAUGGACUUCUGUCCUCUGGACCGAGCCGAGGAAACAGGCACCAGAGACCAGACCAGAGCUGGGAAAGCCGGACGCGGCUGGCUCCCAGGAUUCACGGGAAUGUCGGAUCUUUCACCUCUGCUGUCCUCUCUCCCUUCUUCUUCAAGCACUGAGGCGCCUCCAGAGUGAGCCAGGCAAAGAUGAUUGCAUUCUGCUGGUGGUGUGCGGCCUUUCUCCAGCUCUGUGGCCUGUGGUGCAGUUAUUCACUGUCAAAUGCAAUAUGUUGUGAUUUCCUGCCUAAUUCAAAUUUUAUGAACAUUCUGCAGUCUUACUCUUUUGUUUCUCUGCUAUUUCUAGC